This 681-nucleotide ribosomal RNA is filed under the name uncultured fungus. RNAcentral describes it as "eukaryotic LSU rRNA". The stretch from base 216 to 373 matches the Rfam family "5.8S ribosomal RNA". The record is from RNAcentral. Lineage: Eukaryota; Fungi.
CUUGGUCAUUUAGAGGAAGUAAAAGUCGUAACAAGGUUUCCGUAGGUGAACUGCGGAAGGAUCAUUCAUAAAUAAGUGUUUUACUGCACUUUUUAAAAAUAGUACUCACCUUGUGUGCAAUGUUGUGUUUCUUUUCGGAAAAAAAACCUACAACCCCACCUAUAACCUGAACCACUUUGUCUGAAAAACUAUUAUGAAUACUUAAUUCAAAAUACAACUUUCAACAACGGAUCUCUUGGCUCUCGCAUCGAUGAAGAACGCAGCGAAAAUGCGAUACGUAAAUGUGAAAUUGCAGAAAUUCAGUGAAUCAUCGAAUCUUUGAACGCACAUUGCACUCUCUGGUAUUCCGGAGAGUAUGCUUGUUUGAGUAUCAGUAAACACCUCAAGUCUCUUCUCUAGAGAAGAGGAAUUGGACUUGAGCAAUCCCAACUCUUUGCGAGGAGAGGCGGGUUGCUUGAAAUGCAGGUGCAGCUGGACGUUCUUCUGAGCUAAAAGCAUAUUUAUUUAGUCCCGUCAAACGGAUUAUUACUUUUGCUCUAGCUAAUAUAAAGGUUGAAUGCGCUAUAUGCUGACUGAUGCAGGAUUACCGAGUUUUACUAGCUAAAACUUGUAAACUCGAAUCUCAAAUCAAGUAAGGACUUACCCGCUGAACUGAAAGCAAUAAUCAAUGAGCGGAGGUGA